This 528-nucleotide ribosomal RNA is filed under the name Triticum aestivum (bread wheat). RNAcentral describes it as "partial small subunit ribosomal RNA". Lineage: Eukaryota; Viridiplantae; Streptophyta; Magnoliopsida; Poales; Poaceae. The record is from RNAcentral.
AUGUCAACCGCGACUGCAUCUCGGCCCAGCGGCCCCAUCCUUUUGACUCCCUUUCCCAACUACCAAUCCGCCUCGCUCUCGCGUAUCAAGCUCUCCGUCGCCGGCUCGCCGGUCAAGUCCGUCAGCGUCUCGUCUCCCCCCUCCUCCCCCACCACCACCCCCAAGAUCCGUCGGUCCUGCAUGUGCUCCCCGACGAACCACCCGGGCUCCUUCCGCUGCAGCCUCCACAAGGAGCGCAAGCAGGAGGCCCACGCCGUCAGCAGCAGGCCCGCCUCUCCGCCUUCGCCGCCGUCGAAGAGCACGGCCAGCCCGUUCGCGCAGCACAUCCCCAGCGGCAGCGGCUGCUCUACACGCUCUUACAGCGGGCUGGCGCGGCGCGUUCCCAUGGGGAGCGGGCACUGGGCACGCAAGGCGCUCGUGCCGUCCCCCGUGGCGCAGCAGUUGCAGUACCGGAAGCGAGCGGGCGGGUACCGCGCCGGGGCCAGCUGUCUCUCCGCCGCCUCCAUGGCCGGCCGCAGCAACCAGUAA